GAUCGUCAUAAAAUGGUUGGAGGAAUGUAGCUUCGAUCUCGUAUUGAAGUGUUAUAGCCUUCGGCAGAUGUGAUGAUUGGGAUUGAGGAUUGCAACGAACCCUUCGGGGCUACCUGUCUGAUCUCUGAGAGUUGCUCUGGUGCUGAAAGCUUGCUUAUGGUAUCAAAGUUGACGUUCAAUAGGUUAGAACGGGAUAAGUUCGUUAAGGAUGUUGACGUAAUGGUUUUAAACGACCCGUCUUGAAACACGG
RNAcentral lists this ribosomal RNA (250 nucleotides) under Glomus sp. Its description in RNAcentral is "partial small subunit ribosomal RNA". The record is from RNAcentral. Lineage: Eukaryota; Fungi; Glomeromycota; Glomeromycetes; Glomerales; Glomeraceae.